Molecule: long non-coding RNA, 318 nt
Organism: Ochotona princeps (American pika)
Lineage: Eukaryota; Metazoa; Chordata; Mammalia; Lagomorpha; Ochotonidae
Exons: 2
Source: RefSeq, a predicted model, not a curated record
AGCGAUUCCUGCACACCUGUGAGCAGUGCCCUGCUGCAGGGCAUGGAGCUUUGGAAGCAGGUGAGCAGUCAGAGGAAGUAAGUCACCAGCUCCCUGCUUGUGGCCUGGGGAAGCAGUAGAGGAUGGCCCAAAGCCCUUGUACUUUGCACCUGUGUGGGAGACCUGGAGGAAGCUCCUGGUUCCUGGCUUCAGAUCAGCUCAGCUUUGGCGGUUAUGGCUAAUUGCGGAGUGAACCAAUGGAUGGAAGAUCUUUCUCUCUGUCUAUGCUUCUCUCUGUAAAUCUAACUUUGCAAUAAAAAUAAAUAAAUCUUUAAAAAA